UAUGAGAGUUUGAUCCUGGCUCAGGACGAACGCUGGCGGCGUGCCUAAUACAUGCAAGUCGAACGCUUCUUUCCUCCCGAGUGCUUGCACUCAAUUGGAAAGAGGAGUGGCGGACGGGUGAGUAACACGUGGGUAACCUACCCAUCAGAGGGGGAUAACACUUGGAAACAGGUGCUAAUACCGCAUAACAGUUUAUGCCGCAUGGCAUAAGAGUGAAAGGCGCUUUCGGGUGUCGCUGAUGGAUGGACCCGCGGUGCAUUAGCUAGUUGGUGAGGUAACGGCUCACCAAGGCCACGAUGCAUAGCCGACCUGAGAGGGUGAUCGGCCACACUGGGACUGAGACACGGCCCAGACUCCUACGGGAGGCAGCAGUAGGGAAUCUUCGGCAAUGGACGAAAGUCUGACCGAGCAACGCCGCGUGAGUGAAGAAGGUUUUCGGAUCGUAAAACUCUGUUGUUAGAGAAGAACAAGGACGUUAGUAACUGAACGUCCCCUGACGGUAUCUAACCAGAAAGCCACGGCUAACUACGUGCCAGCAGCCGCGGUAAUACGUAGGUGGCAAGCGUUGUCCGGAUUUAUUGGGCGUAAAGCGAGCGCAGGCGGUUUCUUAAGUCUGAUGUGAAAGCCCCCGGCUCAACCGGGGAGGGUCAUUGGAAACUGGGAGACUUGAGUGCAGAAGAGGAGAGUGGAAUUCCAUGUGUAGCGGUGAAAUGCGUAGAUAUAUGGAGGAACACCAGUGGCGAAGGCGGCUCUCUGGUCUGUAACUGACGCUGAGGCUCGAAAGCGUGGGGAGC
Molecule: ribosomal RNA, 794 nt
Filed under: Listeria monocytogenes
Lineage: Bacteria; Bacillati; Bacillota; Bacilli; Caryophanales; Listeriaceae
Description: bacterial SSU rRNA
Rfam family: Bacterial small subunit ribosomal RNA
Source: RNAcentral